Molecule: long non-coding RNA, 1690 nt
Organism: Triticum aestivum (bread wheat)
Lineage: Eukaryota; Viridiplantae; Streptophyta; Magnoliopsida; Poales; Poaceae
Exons: 2
Source: RefSeq, a predicted model, not a curated record
GGCGUCGACACGGCCGUGCUCGUCGUACAGAGGCCCAAGCCGGCCGUGCGGCCUCCGCAAGCGCCAGACUGCCGCCGCCCCCUCGUGGAGGAGGGCUCGUUGCAACGGCCUUCGCCGCAGCUGCCACACGCUGCUAUCGCUGUAUUAGUAUCACCGCCGCCGCAUCGCGCCUCUCGGCAGCAGCCAGCGGGUUAGUUUUGCCCUUUCCACGGAACGCACCGAACCUGUUCGGCGAUUUGCCUAGGAACGGACUGGCGCUUGAGAUGCUUGCAAGAAGUUGCACCUGAGGCUCAGCUGAUGAUGACGAACUGGCCAGCUCGUACAAGAGCGAGAUAUCAUCUGGCAGUUGCACAUGCCACUUUCUGACGGCCGCAACGAGCACCUGACAGAUACUCGUGAAUGGGCUUGCUCUCAGUUUCCUGAACCUGUACACUCUGGAGCCACCAACAAAUACUGCUAGGCCCAAGGUCAUGAGCACCGUUGGGAUUGCAAAACUGAGCCCCCACCCACCAUUGUCCUGCAGCCAAACAAGCAGUGUGCUUGACAGAAGGGAGCCGAGAUUGAGCAGGAAGUAGUACCAGUUGAAGAAGGAGCCCUUCUUCUCCAGCUCCAUCAGGUCCCCGCCGUCGAAUUGGUCGGCACCGAAGGCUGACGCACAGGGUUUAAUGCCACCGGUCCCAAGUGCGGCAAGAUAGAGUCCCAGGUACACCACCACAGUACGAUGAACAUCACCAUGGUAGUACGAUGUCGGGACUGAUGCUGCAACUGUGAGCACGAGCAUUCCCUGUCAAAGUGAAAGUGUUCAGAGCUGCAAUUGUCAUACAUAUCUGCUCGGUUAGCUGUGCUAGCUGUACUUACGAUGGUGUGGACUGGAAGGGAAACAACUAUCGUCCAGUAUCUUCCCAGAUAUGUGUCAGCCAAGAAGGCCCCAAUAAGUGGUGUGAGGAAGCAUGCGCCGACCCAGGCAGAGACAUCCCGCGCAGCAGCGACCUUGCUUUCGUGGAGCACGGUGGUGAGGUAGGUUACCAAGUUGGUCGCGAUUGCGAAGAAGGCGACGCAUUCGCAGAACUCGACGCCUGAGAUGCGUUGAGGUGGUCAGCAGUAAAAAGAGAAGAAGAGAAAAAACAGGAGCAGUUUGCAUGAGUGAAUCGCUGUUGUCUGGUACCUAAAAUCAUGUAGCACGCCCUCCAAUUGCCUGUGUUGCACUUCAGAGCAGGCUGAUUGUUGAUGUCAACAGAUCCAUCGCCGGUGUAUUCUGAACCUACAUCCUACAUCGCAGUGCCAGGAUAUCCAGUUUGGAAAUUUGCAACUGUAAAUCUCUUGCGGAGGACCGACAAGAACUGAAGAAUUACACGUGCUAACUGAAAUUAUUCUCAUAUAUACUAGUGUUGGGCAGUACCUGAUUAUACGGUUGGAGAUGAAGCAGGGGCCUCUCCUCGUCUGCUGCUGCUGCUUCCAUGGCUGCUUACAAGAUGGUCGAUGGAGCAGAUGAGGGUUAAGGGAUGGAGCUCAGAACCUAAAAGUUACCUGCAUGUGCUCUUGUCUACUUUUGUUCUGAAGAGUGGUAGGUUGCUUAUCAGUUAUCACUAAGAUAUGGUAAAAAGGUGGCACGCUCAUUCCAAAUCGAGGGAUCGCGUGUGUUGUGACUGCAUUUUCUAGUGAUUGAACGAUGAUUAAAGGGUUCGAUUUU